CGGGCUGUCAAAAAAAAUAAACAAACCGAUUUUAUUUUUCGCGAGGUGGUUUCCCGGGAAGAAUCUUCAUCUUCAAGAUGCGGAAAAGCUGGUUGCAUUUUGCAAGCUUCCCUGCUCUGCCCUGCCCCCUGCCAGGCUUCGCCUCGAAGAAAAUGCCUUCCGUUGGACAGCCGUUUGGAAAUUUCUAGAGAAAUUUUCGCCUCGCAGGCCUAAAUCAAGAGGCCGGGCUCCGCGGCCAAAUCUAUCACGGAACUCAACAUCGCCAGUGCCGACAGCGCCUUUCUUGUCCGGUCCGCCGACACGAUGAGCGCGCUGCGAUUUCGAACGGACCAGCCUGUUUAAGUGUCGGCGGAACAAUCUCCGGAGGCAGUUCGCCAAUAGUCAGCCGCGGUUCUGCCGUGGUGUCCUGGACGCUAAGAUCCGCAUCUUCAAUCUCGGCCAACGCGUCC
Culex pipiens pallens (northern house mosquito) is the source of this 449-nucleotide long non-coding RNA. RefSeq lists it as uncharacterized. The record is from RefSeq and is a predicted model, not a curated record. Lineage: Eukaryota; Metazoa; Arthropoda; Insecta; Diptera; Culicidae. The transcript is spliced from 3 exons.